AGUAAGGAAAACUAUAGUUCAUGCCGAGUAAAACAAAUAAGGUUAGGUUGAAAGGUGGUAGAUCUCGUAUGUUUGGAAGGUAUAGCAAAAAUGUUACUGUACAUUAAAUCUUGCCCUUAUCGCCAGUGACGUUCUAAAUAAAUAUCAACAUCUCACUGACAACGGUUAUCGUCGCCAUGGUGCGUCACAGCACAUUGCAGAAACAGGUGUUAUCACUGUACCGUCAGUUCCUACGCGCUGGGCGAGAUAAGCCGGGUUUUCUACCGAGGAUACGUGAGGAAUUCCGCUCAAACGCUGCCAUAAAAAAGACAGAUGUCAUGUAUAUAGAAUAUGUUUAUCGGCGUGCCCAAAGACAACUGGAACAAUUAAAAGAUGUAAAUACGAAACAACUGGGAUUCUUUUGCAAGCCUAAAGAGGACCGCUGAUUGUUGCCCCUCAACGUUAAAAUUUUUCUUGAAUUGGGAAGCAAACGGACAAACUGUAUUCUAGUAGUGCAGAGAACUUGUGUGUAUAUGGCAGGUAUUAAAAUGAAUGAUGGAUAGAUACCAGUAAACAGUUUAAAAUAAAAGAAAUAAUAAAUAUUUAAACUUGUCUGUAGACUUUUUGCCACUGGCGUAUUCUACUGCCAGGUAUAAGGCUACUGCACUCGUAUUUACAUACAGAAUUCAUGCAAAGGAAACUAUGCAAUAGUGCAUGCGAUUAUCACUGGAAAAUUCUGAAUCCCACGACAAGGGGGCUGAAUAAAGGAUUAACUGAUUGUUUGUUUGCUGUUUACUAAUUUUUUGUUAGCUAAGAUAUCAAGCUCCCAGGCCUCUGAUAGAGGUCCUGAGCUUGAAGGAGGAGGAUGACUAGGGAAUUUAUAUAUACAUAUAUAUGUUUGUGUGUGUGUGGUGAAGGUUAAAGGGAAAGUUCACCCAAGAUCACAUCUGAUGUCUGUUAGAUGUGUCGAACAGUUUUUGUAUUAAUAUAUGUAGUUGGAUAUUGUAUUAAUAUGCUUUAGUUGUUUUUUUCUUCUUUUGCUUCUUCACUACCAACAACUGGCAAACUAAAUUAGAAUGCAUGCAUAAAUGAUUUAUCAAUGUUAAUUCCUUCAUUUUGGCAUUGAAUGGUGUUCGCUGACGAUGGUGGGUGUUUUAUUUUAAAUCAAAUAAAUAUGGUCAAAUGUGAAGUAAAGCAUGUAUUCAAAAGCACCGAUUUGGCAUAACCACUAGGGGGCACUAAUAUUUACAAGCUAUCUUAUUUAACUCAAGCAAGCGGAAAGGCAGCGUAUGUAAACAGGAAGUGAAAAGGUUUGGAAAAUAUGGCGGAUCUGAGGAGGGAAAACUCGAGCAGUGAGAUGUCGGAUGCUCAAUUAAUGCAGCAGUUGGCUCUACUUGGCUGGCUUACGACUGACAGUGUAGCGUGCAAAGAAUUCCUGACUGCUGUUACUGGCAUACAAGUGGCACGAGAAGUACUCAAUAGACUAUCCGGGCAAGGAAAAGUGGAUGCUUAUAGGAAAGAAUGCAUUCAAAAUGUGGCUGACUUUGUGAGAAGAAAUCCUAGGGCCUCUCAGCAGGAGCUGAACGCAGAAGUUGAGAAGAAUGUGCAUCUGUUUGCCUCCAGAGUGCAGGCCUUAGACCAUACCACUCUCCUCUGAAAGUUACUUUCAGCUAGGACCUUAAAUGCUGACCCGUUUCUAGUUUUUCCAUCUAACAUCUCCUUUUCUUUUUGGCUUUUUUUAAUCAUUAUAUGUGCUUAUGUAUUUCUUUAAUAUAUAAUGUAAUUUCGAAUUGUUUUUGUAUUGUAUGUCAAUGUCCAUCACCUUGUUUUUAAAUUACACUUUGAACAUUGGUUUAGUUAGAUAAAUUGUUGAGUGGAAUAAACAGUUUUUGAGUCCUUUUAA
Electrophorus electricus (electric eel) is the source of this 1882-nucleotide non-coding RNA. Lineage: Eukaryota; Metazoa; Chordata; Actinopteri; Gymnotiformes; Gymnotidae. The record is from RefSeq and is a predicted model, not a curated record.